AUACGUAGGGUGCAAGCGUUAAUCGGAAUUACUGGGCGUAAAGCGUGCGCAGGCGUGAUGUAAGACAGAUGUGAAAUCCCCGGGCUCAACCUGGGAACUGCAUUAGUGACUGCAUCGCUGGAGUGCGGCAGAGGGGGAUGGAAUUCCGCGUGUAGCAGUGAAAUGCGUAGAUAUGCGGAGGAACAUCGAUGGCGAAGGCAAUCCCCCUGGGCCUGCACUGACGCUCAUGCACGAAAGCGUGGGGAGC
RNAcentral lists this ribosomal RNA (247 nucleotides) under uncultured bacterium. RNAcentral describes it as "partial 16S ribosomal RNA". It matches the Rfam family "Bacterial small subunit ribosomal RNA", at positions 523 to 769 of the family's 1533-position model. The record is from RNAcentral.